CAGGUAACUUUCUCGCAAGGAGCUGAAUUCUUUCACUAAAGGGUACAAGCCCGAGGGACGAGCUGCGCGGUGAUUGGCUGCGGGGUUCCCUCAGGUGAGCUGCCAUUGGCAGAGGCGCGCUCAGGGAUUGUGGGUCAAACGGAAGGACUAAGGAGAACUGAACUCGGGGAUCCCAAGCCAACCGGAAUCAAAUGCAACCGCACCGCCACAAGGCUUUUAAUACCCACAUUAAGAAGACGGUUUGACAGUGUCGGAAGAGUACGGGACUGAAGUGUACGUUGUGCUCAGAGGGGGAGAAAAACACAAAGAUCGCCGAGUCUGUUACGUAAUUGCAUUUUUAACAUACUUAUCCACAACAAACACUUUUCGUGUCCCGAUGUGUAACAGAUACGGUAGAUUACUAGAUUUACAAAUAGGUGAGCAUCCUUUCAUGACCUAGACGGAUAGGGAGUGGCAUGGUUUUGAUGGGGUGAAGAAAUUUGGUUGAACAGACCCUAAUAUGGCUCAGACACACCACUUCCAUCUUAACUCUGCAGCCUGGGAUUCCAGAGCUGCAAACCACUGAAUCCCUCCCAUAAACCUGUUGUCAUUUGACGUUUCCAGGCAAGCAUCAACAUUUACAUUGUAAUUCAAUAGAAGCAGCGAUUACAAAGGAAAUUUAUCCUUCCAGCUUAAUAUGGUUGCUACGGAAACAAUUCAGAAUGAAACUGACUUUUUUUGCAGUUUUGUUUCUCCUGGUUGGGAGCAACGAAUUUGCAAACGUGUAAUUUAUAACCACUACUUCCAACGAGUAUCUGUGGAAGUUCCGACAGUAAUCUAGCCCAUGCAUAUGAAUUGUAGAAAUAAAGAGGGCAUGGAAAGCUUAUCAUGAUUUAUUUCGAAUUAAUACUACAUUGACAGAGAUGAAACAACUUCUAUUUUAACCUGUAUGGAUCAUGUAUUUCCUGAAAAUUACAUUAUGAGACAAGG
Long non-coding RNA from Orcinus orca (killer whale), 969 nucleotides. RefSeq lists it as uncharacterized. The transcript has 2 exons. The record is from RefSeq and is a predicted model, not a curated record. NCBI's taxonomy places the organism in Eukaryota, Metazoa, Chordata, Mammalia, Artiodactyla, Delphinidae.